RNAcentral lists this unclassified non-coding RNA (203 nucleotides) under Hevea brasiliensis (rubber tree). The record is from RNAcentral. Lineage: Eukaryota; Viridiplantae; Streptophyta; Magnoliopsida; Malpighiales; Euphorbiaceae.
CUCCAGUGACUUUUUUCCGCAACGAUGGCUACAUAAGUUCAAAACUCUUCUUCACCAGCCAUGAUCAGAAUGACAUAUUGAACAUGUUACAUGCCAUUUACAAAGGCAAUCCCCAAUACCAUCAAGACACAAAAACGCAUUUGCAGGAAAGCAUCAAUGAGGGGAGAUAAAGUGACCAUCUCCAUUUCACCUGGAAUUGGGAA